This 43-nucleotide non-coding RNA is filed under the name Alexandrium minutum. The record is from RNAcentral. Lineage: Eukaryota; Dinophyceae; Gonyaulacales; Pyrocystaceae.
UUUUUUUUUUUUUUUUUUUUUUUUUUUUUUUUUUUCGCUUUGC